GACGAACGCUGGCGGCGUGCUUAACACAUGCAAGUCGAACGGAAAGGCCCUGCUUUUGUGGGGUGCUCGAGUGGCGAACGGGUGAGUAACACGUGAGUAACCUGCCCUUGACUUUGGGAUAACUUCAGGAAACUGGGGCUAAUACCGGAUAGGAGCUCCUGCUGCAUGGUGGGGGUUGGAAAGUUUCGGCGGUUGGGGAUGGACUCGCGGCUUAUCAGCUUGUUGGUGGGGUAGUGGCUUACCAAGGCUUUGACGGGUAGCCGGCCUGAGAGGGUGAACGGCAACAUUGGGACUGAGAUACGGCCCAGAAUCCUACGGGAGGCAGCAGUGGGGAAUAUUGCACAAUGGGCGGAAGCCUGAUGCAGCAACGCCGCGUGCGGGAUGACGGCCUUCGGGUUGUAAACCGCUUUCGCCUGUGACGAAGCGUGAGUGACGGUAAUGGGUAAAGAAGCACCGGCUAACUACGUG
Molecule: ribosomal RNA, 468 nt
Filed under: uncultured bacterium
Lineage: Bacteria
Description: partial 16S ribosomal RNA
Rfam family: Bacterial small subunit ribosomal RNA
Source: RNAcentral